RNAcentral lists this long non-coding RNA (1217 nucleotides) under Equus caballus (horse). RNAcentral describes it as "lncRNA (ENSECAG00000056067.1)". The record is from RNAcentral. Lineage: Eukaryota; Metazoa; Chordata; Mammalia; Perissodactyla; Equidae.
UCAAGAAAUCCUUACCAAGACCAGUGUCAGGAAGGUUUCCCCUGUGCUUUCUCCUAGGAGUUUUUGGCUUUCAGGUCUUACAUCAUUUAAGUCUCUAAUGCAUUUUGAGCAGAUUUUUGUGUAUCGUGUAAGAUAAGAAUCGAACCCAUUUUUUGCAUGUGGAUAUCCACUUUUCUCAACACUGUUUUCGAGGAGACUAUCCUUUCCCCGUUGGAAAGUCUUUGCAUUCUUGUCCAAAAUUUCUGUUUGUUUGUUUUAAAAUAUGGGGGCAGCAGGGGAGUCCUAGGAUGAGAAACAUCUGGGUUCCCUGGCGCUCAGGGCCCCUCCUCCCCUGGUCGUUGAGGAGUGUGGCUCACAUCACCUGUUAUGAAACCCUACAGGCCGCGGCCUCUUCCACCCCUCGUUAGAGAGGCCGGGUGGGUGCAGCCUGCUCUCCAGGCCUCGCGCUGCCCGCCCGGGGAAGGGACCCGGAGCCCAGCGAUGCAAGUGAACUGUGCAUGCGCGGCACUUGCCAGCGCGUGCAGAACCCGGGGUGCCGAGCUUCUGGCGGGAGUCCCGGCCCCUUCGGUGUCCUGGUCCGAGGCCGCGUCACCUCCCACGCACCUUUCCAUCGUCCCCGGGGCCAGGGGUUGCUCCUGGAGCUUCGAGGUCCCCAAACACAAGCCAGAUGAGAUGGAUGAACCAAAGCUGAAGUGAAGCAAUUGGAUGGCCAUCCUAGCAGAGAAUGUUCCUUGUUUCCCAUCACUUUGCUGGAGCACAGUUUACAGUCCAAAGAAUUGUGUUGGCUGUUGUGAAGUCCAUGAGAGAGCUUGCUAAAUUUGCUUAUACAAUCUAGAAGUUUGUUUUUUAGAUUCCUCAGAAUUUUCUACAGAGUCAAUCAUGUUUUCUGUGAAUAGAUUAACAUAUGUUUUCCUAUCCUAACUUCAUGUUUUUAAAAAAUUUUUUAUAACUUUGUUAUACCUUUGGUACAAUAUUUAAUAAAAGUGAUGAGAGUGGCUAUCUUUGCUUUGUUUCUGUUUUUAGGGGGAAAACAUUCAGUCCUUAAUCAUUAAGUAUGAUAGUUGUAGUUUUUCUUUAAAUACUCUUUAGCAAGUUAAAGAAGUGUCUUUCUAGUCCUAGUUUACUUGAAAUUUUUCUCAUGAAUGGAUGUUGAAUUUGAGGUGAUUAUUUGAAUAUUCUCUUUAGUUUGUUAUAGUAGUGAAUUCCAUUGAUUGAUU